This 457-nucleotide ribosomal RNA is filed under the name uncultured bacterium. Its description in RNAcentral is "partial 16S ribosomal RNA". It matches the Rfam family "Bacterial small subunit ribosomal RNA", at positions 28 to 507 of the family's 1533-position model. The record is from RNAcentral.
GAUAAACGCUGGCGGCGUGCAUGAGACAUGCAAGUCGACCGAAGGAUCGGGCUUGCUCGAUCCUUAGUGGCGGACGGCUGAGUAACGCGUAGGUGACCUACCCCGAAGUGGGGAAUAACUGCCCGAAAGGGUGGCUAAUACCGCAUGUGGUCGCACGUUCAUUCGUGCGAGUAAAGCCGCAAGGCGCUUCGGGAGGGGCCUGCGUCCGAUUAGCUCGUUGGUGGGGUAAUGGCUUACCAAGGCGACGAUCGGUAGGUGGUCUGAGAGGACGAUCACCCAGACUGGGACUGAGACACGGCCCAGACUCCUACGGGAGGCAGCAGCCGGGAAUUUUGCUCAAUGGGGGAAACCCUGAAGCAGCAACGCCGCGUGAGGGAUGAAGGCCUCGGGUUGUAAACCUCUUUUGUCAGGGACGAUGAUGACGGUACCUGGCGAAUAAGCCACGGCUAACUACGUG